GGGAGCGCCGAUGGAGGGGAGGGGUGGAAUGGGGGCGCGGAGACCCCACCUGGACGCAGAGGCUCGCGGCAGGCCCGGCCGCUCGGGCCGUUGUGGGGGCCGAGCCCGACCGCGCGCACAGCUUCUAGUGGCCCGCAGGAUUCCUCCUGGGGCGGCGCUGGGAGCCUCGGGGCUCGGCUUCCUCGAUCCCCGCCCCCAGAUUUCCUCUGCAGGCUGAGGUCGGGAAGGACGGAAGGAGAGUGGAUCCUGCAGGUGGUGGGAAAAGCUUAACAGCCUGGUGCCAGUUACCCUGCGAUGGGAGAGGGGGCAGCCCCCACAGAAGCACGGGCUUAUGGGGCCCCAGUUCCUUCAGUGCUCACCCCACGAAGAAGGGCUCUCAAACGGCCCCACUGGACGGCUCACCGGAGGAUGGUCCUGCGCAGUGGGUGUUUGUUGAACAGAUAAGAAAAGAGACUAAGAAGAGGCCUGCUCUAUGAACCGGGGAAAGUGAAGGAGUCACAGAGGAGCGGCUCGCCUUAGGGCAAUCCUGGGGAAAAGAUGGAGAGGCAUGGAUUCUUCAUGGAUGUGUGCCUCAUCCUGGGGCUCAUCCCUCUGAGCAUCAAAUAUUCAUUGCAAAAGAGGAGAAAAAAAAUCUGCUGCGGACAGUGCUGGCUGGUCUGAUCUCUCCCUUGGCCAGAAUUAACGGGGCAAUUCCUAAUCCCUCUUGGUCUUCAGAAUCACCUGGCCUAUGCACACUCCCUCUAAAUCACUGAAGUCCAAUUUCUGGGAGCGCAGCCAGGGAAUGUAUAUUUUUAAACAAGCCCCCCAGGUUACUCUGAUAAGUGCAAAGUCAGAGAGCGCUGCUGUCAUGCACUGAGCCUGAGCACUAUUCUAUUAAUAAAAAAGGAGAGGAGAAUCCUGGGUGUCUUAAGGUGGCAGUUGGGCGGCCUUCGCCUUCUGGCGGCAGAAGAGCAGAGCCAGGCUCUAAGCACCUGCACCCACCGCUGGGCUCAGGAUCUGUGCUGGAGAAUAGAAGGGCUAAUUUAAUUAUUCAUGCCUUUUUAGAGCAAAUUACAUGUGGAGAAGGUGGGACACACUGAAUUUUAUUUUAGCCAAAUGCCCCUUAUCUCCUUAUACAAUUGAUAUUUUUAUAUUGAACAUUAGAGGAUUGGUCAUUUGUCAUCAAAUCGUCUGUAAUACAGAAAACGAUAGAUACAGCCUAGCAGUUCAAACAUGACGAGUUAAAUAAAUGAUGGUUAAAAAUA
Molecule: long non-coding RNA, 1244 nt
Organism: Symphalangus syndactylus (siamang)
Lineage: Eukaryota; Metazoa; Chordata; Mammalia; Primates; Hylobatidae
Source: RefSeq, a predicted model, not a curated record